AUGUUUGCCUCUUGAAUAAUAAAUUGACCCUGGAAUAAUGGAUUCAGUGAAAAGAUUUGAUUAUGCUGCAAUAAACUAGCCAGUUUAUCUCAAAUGUUUAGUUCAUAAAUUAAAAUGAUGUUAAGGGUCAGAAAGCCCUCGGAUUUUAACAAAAAUAAUUUAAUUUGUGUUGUGAAGAUGCACAGAGGUCUUAGGGGUUUGGAAUGACAUGAGGGUGAGUAAUUAAUGACAGAAUUUACAUUUUGGAUGAACUAUCCCUUUAAUGCAUGUGUUUUUGACUUUUGGUUAUUUAAAACUUGAUUAAACAGUUAUGUUUUAAUGACAAAAGUUCAAAUAAGUGAGCAAAUGGAAAAUAUCUGUAUCAGGCAAAAAAAAAAAAUUCAUACAUAUAUAUUGGUGUCUAGUGCAAAGUUGUCUUUUUAUAAGUCAUUGAUUAAUAUAAGUAUGUGCUCAAAAGUUAAGUGUAUUUGAAUUUUUCAUAUUCUCAUCUGUUUGAUAUACAGACCAUUUUGUCUCAUUUUAAAUGUUUUAAGAAACGUGAUGACUCACAGCCUCUGCCAAUUUCCCCAUUUUCCCACUGACAGGUUGCAGAAUAACAGCUUAUGGAUCAUUUUGUACAGGAGAAGCUGAAAGAAUGGAACUUUGAUGUCUUGAUACCAAUCUUUAAAGAUGAACAAAUUGAUGAGGAAACUAGAAAAGAAAAUAUCAAGUCUUUCAUUGAAUUCAAUAAUGUUGGGACCAACACAGUUGAAUUCCUGCUGGUGGUGAGGCU
Non-coding RNA from Pimephales promelas (fathead minnow), 772 nucleotides. The record is from RefSeq and is a predicted model, not a curated record. NCBI's taxonomy places the organism in Eukaryota, Metazoa, Chordata, Actinopteri, Cypriniformes, Leuciscidae.